UUUUCAGUGGACAUUGGCGCUGACCGUAUAGUAUGUGGAGGAGAAGAGGGUUUUGUAAGGAUCUGGAACUUUUCGCAAGCUUUGGAAAUCGAGCGGAGGGUUCGAGCUCUAAAAGGAAUCCGGUUGGAGAAUCGGAUGAGGCGGCGCAAGCUCCAAAAAGAGAUGAGCAAAGGUAAACGAACUCAUCAGUGUUCUGCGGCAGCCAAGAACUCCAUGCAUGGAGAUAGGCGUAAGGUCUGGCACAGUAAACGUGGAAUGAGUAGCAAGCUGAAGGCAUAGCAACAAAUGGCAUUUACUAAAUGCCUCUAUGCGGGAUGACUCUCUUACAGUAAUCAUGUAACAGA
This 344-nucleotide unclassified non-coding RNA is filed under the name Hevea brasiliensis (rubber tree). The record is from RNAcentral. Lineage: Eukaryota; Viridiplantae; Streptophyta; Magnoliopsida; Malpighiales; Euphorbiaceae.